Molecule: long non-coding RNA, 1125 nt
Filed under: Felis catus (domestic cat)
Lineage: Eukaryota; Metazoa; Chordata; Mammalia; Carnivora; Felidae
Description: lncRNA (ENSFCAG00000047695.1)
Source: RNAcentral
GUCUUCCUUCUCUGCACGCCCAGGCCUGGCCUCUGCCACCUUCCAGGAGGUUCCCUCCAGGACUACCUCUCUGCCCGCUCCUUCAAAACAGCCUUUUCUCUGCAGAGUGCCUGCUCACUGGCGACAACUCAAACAGUAACGCCAAGGUCACGACGGAGGGAAAACGGCCCCGACCUGACUACCCCAGAGAAAGCUCCGCCUGGACAGCCGGGCCUGGACGAGCCACGGCCUUGUGCCCACCAGCGGUCGGACCGCCAAGUGGCUCCCCGCGGCAGAGGGUCUCAGAGCCCCGCCCUCCCCGCAGGCCGGAACUGGGCCACGUGCAGGAGGGGGCUGGAGUGUCCCCCGUCCCCGGCCGGCCCGCUGUGUGCGGGGCGCCGGCACCUGGAGCGCCUCCAGGUCUGGGUUCGAGCCGCAGCCGUGGGCCCCGACGGGCUCUGCGGAGCAGGCAUCGGCGGGGGGGAGGAGGGGAGCACCCUUCCUCUGCAAGGAGGGGUGAGGGGCAGGGCCGAAGGGGGGGGCGUUCCUAGCUGUCCUAGCCCGGCGUCUUCGAGCACCCCCAACGUGCUGCGGCGCCACCAACGCGGCAAGCUGUCUUCUCCGAAGCGCUGCGGGCGGCUUCGAUGCACCUGCGAGCCCGGCUUGGGGGUGUGCGUCUCGCUCGCUGCCACCCGAUGCCUGUCUCAGGACACGCUGACCUCCGGGAAGGCCACCCCCUGCUCUGCACCUCCCCACGGGGCACCUGGCAGCUCUCCCGCUUCGUCUCCGGCCUUCAGUCACCGCGGGCGGGGGCUGCCACACGACACCCCCGCCGCCCCGGGCAGCCCGCAGCGGGCAGGGCGGCGCCCACGCCUUAGACCACCUCGACCCGGAAGUGCUUCGCGGCACUUCCCUUUACCUUCCAUUGGUGAGGCCUGGUCACGUGGGGGCGCGCGGCCGCAAGGGAGGCUGGGAAACGGCCCGGGCCAGCUUCAGCUUCCAGCCACGGCUCUGGGCGGCGCCCAGGGACUCGGGCGCUCCCUGGGCCGCUGGGCGAUGCCACCGCAGGCCCGGGGCCUCCGCGCCCCCAGGGCCGGGAGCACCUCCCUGGGGGGACCUGAGCCUCCCCCCGGCGUUUUGUGCUGA